UACCGGGCGCCGUACUGAGUGUAGCGGGCACCAAGCCACCCAUUUCUGCUUCUAAGGUGUGCACAGUCCUUGGAGGAGUCAGAAUAACAAAUUGACGUUUGCCCUAUCCCGGAACUGCUCUUCCUAAGGGAGUUGCACUUAUGAGAGCUCCCUCUAUUUACCAGCAGAGAGAACUGAGACUCAGAAAAAAUGGAGAAAGAGUAAGCACUAGCUCUGCUGCUGACGAGUCUGUAAUUGGGGCCCUCUGCCUCCUGGCCUUCUAUUCCUCAGAUGUAACACGAGGGGAUUGAGAGAGGUAAACUGAAGAAAGAUAUCACAGGUUCCAAGUGCCGUGCUUCAAGGAGGGUGAAAUAAGGGUGAACUUUAGGGAAAGUUUUCUGGAGUAGGUGGAAAUUGAUAGCCAAAGAAGAUGAAGAAUGUUUGGAAGACUUUCUGAGAAGGACAAUCAAAUAGGCUCACAUUAGUGAGCACAGUAUCUGGGGGUUCGGUGGGAAGUUGGAUCCUCUUUAAGUGGAUGGUCCAUGUUGUGUAGCUAGACUACGAAGAGCUGUGAAAACCAAGUCUAGAAAGAGUUGAUACUUGGUGCAGUGAUACUCAUCAUUGCACUUUCCUUUUGUUCCUUAAGUAUCAAUAUAAAAUAAGGUUCUCUUUCAAAUCAAUGAUUCUUAAUCCUUUCCCCUUCAUGACAUAUAUUCCUUUAUGCUCCACUCCAUGGGCAUUCCCUGGUCCUGAAGGUCAGGCUGCAGCAUAGAAUCCCAGCUAUUCACCAGCUUUAAUGUGUGCCCUUUGUAACCAAUCACAGCACAAUGUGCCUGGUCACCUCAGCUGAAAAACUGAUGAUUAAAUUCUAACAACCCUCUUGUGGUGGUGUUGGUAAGGAAGAGUCUAGUGGUAGGUGCCAGGAGUUGCAUUCGAGAGCGUUGGAACUACAGGGAGGAACAUUCUAACUGGCUAGUCCAGAAUCAGCAGACAAAUCCAGAUCAAAGAGUGAAGUGCAAGUACAAACUCUAACAUCAAGGAUUAUAUUCAGAUUCCAAGACUGGCCUCAGUACAGUCUGAAGGGUGAAAGGUGGUUCAGGACCAUGGAGAACGACACACAGGCUUCCCCUGCUUCAUGAUCUGAGACAUGCUUGGCUCUAUGAUGCCGGGAGUGAGCCUGGAACAAGUGAAGAGUGGGUCAUGGCACAAGUGAGACAGGCUUGGAGGCAAGUGCAUUCCAUCUUUGUUGGUCACUGUGUGUGACUCUCUGCUUUCCCCCUUAUUGACUUUGUGGCUUUGAGUUGGCAAUUAAGCAUAGCUUAGUCUGUUUCUUUAUUUUAAAAAUGGAAUUAUUAUUGGCAUAUAGAAAGAACUCAACGGAGUAGCUCUUCCUAAUGGCUUUAUCUCAAAGCUUCAAUUGUAUCAGGUCAAAAGAUGACCCAUUUUUUUUUUUUUGUGAGGAAGAUUAGCCUGAGGUAACAUCCAAUGCCAACCCUCCUCUUUUU
This is a long non-coding RNA of Diceros bicornis minor, 1484 nucleotides long. RefSeq lists it as uncharacterized. The transcript has 4 exons. Lineage: Eukaryota; Metazoa; Chordata; Mammalia; Perissodactyla; Rhinocerotidae. The record is from RefSeq and is a predicted model, not a curated record.